AUGAGUAGGGCGGGACACGUGGUAUCCUGUCUGAAUAUGGGGGGACCAUCCUCCAAGGCUAAAUACUCCUGACUGACCGAUAGUGAACCAGUACCGUGAGGGAAAGGCGAAAAGAACCCCGGCGAGGGGAGUGAAAAAGAACCUGAAACCGUGUACGUACAAGCAGUGGGAGCACGCUUAGGCGUGUGACUGCGUACCUUUUGUAUAAUGGGUCAGCGACUUAUAUUCUGUAGCAAGGUUAACCGAAUAGGGGAGCCGAAGGGAAACCGAGUCUUAACUGGGCGUUAAGUUGCAGGGUAUAGACCCGAAACCCGGUGAUCUAGCCAUGGGCAGGUUGAAGGUUGGGUAACACUAACUGGAGGACCGAACCGACUAAUGUUGAAAAAUUAGCGGAUGACUUGUGGCUGGGGGUGAAAGGCCAAUCAAACCGGGAGAUAGCUGGUUCUCCCCGAAAGCUAUUUAGGUAGCGCCUCGUGAAUUCAUCUCCGGGGGUAGAGCACUGUUUCGGCAAGGGGGUCAUCCCGACUUACCAACCCGAUGCAAACUGCGAAUACCGGAGAAUGUUAUCACGGGAGACACACGGCGGGUGCUAACGUCCGUCGUGAAGAGGGAAACAACCCAGACCGCCAGCUAAGGUCCCAAAGUCAUGGUUAAGUGGGAAACGAUGUGGGAAGGCCCAGACAGCCAGGAUGUUGGCUUAGAAGCAGCCAUCAUUUAAAGAAAGCGUAAUAGCUCACUGGUCGAGUCGGCCUGCGCGGAAGAUGUAACGGGGCUAAACCAUGCAC
RNAcentral lists this ribosomal RNA (785 nucleotides) under Escherichia coli. RNAcentral describes it as "partial 23S ribosomal RNA". It matches the Rfam family "Bacterial large subunit ribosomal RNA", at positions 408 to 1194 of the family's 2925-position model. The record is from RNAcentral. Lineage: Bacteria; Pseudomonadati; Pseudomonadota; Gammaproteobacteria; Enterobacterales; Enterobacteriaceae.